AUUGAACGCUGGCGGCAGGCCUAACACAUGCAAGUCGAGCGGAAGCAGGGAGCUUGCUCCUGGAUUCAGCGGCGGACGGGUGAGUAAUGCCUAGGAAUCUGCCUGUUAGUGGGGGAUAACGUCCGGAAACGGGCGCUAAUACCGCAUACGUCUUGAGGGAGAAAGUGGGGGAUCUUCGGACCUUACGCUAUCAGAUGCGCCUAUGUCGGAUUAGCUAGUUGGUGGGGUAAAGGCCUACCCAGGCGACGAUCCGUAACUGGUCUGAGAGGAUGAUCAGUCACACUGGAACUGAGACACGGUCCAGACUCCUACGGGAGGCAGCAGUGGGGAAUAUUGGACAAUGGGCGAAAGCCUGAUCCAGCCAUGCCGCGUGUGUGAAGAAGGUCUUCGGGUUGUAAAGCACUUUAAGUUGGGAGGAAGGGCAGUAAGUUAAUACCUUGCUGUUUUGACGUUACCAACAGAAUAAGCACCGGCUAACUUCGUG
Molecule: ribosomal RNA, 484 nt
Filed under: uncultured bacterium
Lineage: Bacteria
Description: partial 16S ribosomal RNA
Rfam family: Bacterial small subunit ribosomal RNA
Source: RNAcentral